GACGAACGCUGGCGGCGUGCCUAAUACAUGCAAGUUGAGCGAUGAAGAUUGGUGCUUGCCCCAAUUUGAAGAGCAGCGAACGGGUGAGUAACGCGUGGGGAAUCUGCCUUUGAGCGGGGGACAACAUUUGGAAACGAAUGCUAAUACCGCAUAAUAACUUUAAACAUAAGUUUUAAGUUUGAAAGAUGCAAUUGCAUCACUCAAAGAUGAUCCCGCGUUGUAUUAGCUAGUUGGUGAGGUAAAGGCUCACCAAGGCGAUGAUACAUAGCCGACCUGAGAGGGUGAGCGGCCACAUUGGGACUGAGACACGGCCCAAACUCCUACGGGAGGCAGCGGUAGGGAAUCUUCGGCAAUGGACGAAAGUCUGACCGAGCAACGCCGCGUGAGUGAAGAAGGUUUUCGGAUCGUAAAACUCUGUUGGUAGAGAAGAACGUUGGUGAGAGUGGAAAGCUCAUCAAGUGACGGUAACUACCCAGAAAGGGACGGCUAACUACGUG
RNAcentral lists this ribosomal RNA (497 nucleotides) under uncultured bacterium. RNAcentral describes it as "partial 16S ribosomal RNA". It matches the Rfam family "Bacterial small subunit ribosomal RNA", at positions 28 to 507 of the family's 1533-position model. The record is from RNAcentral.